This 1100-nucleotide long non-coding RNA is filed under the name Cyanistes caeruleus (blue tit). RNAcentral's name for it is "lncRNA (ENSCCEG00000017494.1)". The record is from RNAcentral. Lineage: Eukaryota; Metazoa; Chordata; Aves; Passeriformes; Paridae.
AUGGGGAUUUGGGGAGGGGGAAAUUUGGGAUUUAUGGAUUUGGGGAUUUAUGGGGGGCUGGGAGGACCCCGGGCCCAGCCGAGCCCCCCCCGAGGGGGCCCCACGUGCUCAGGACCCGCCCAGAGGGGGAAAAACUUCCCAAAAAAAAAGUUGGGAACUCCUCAAAAAAAAGAAAAAUUCCAGCUUGGAAGCGGCGGGGUUGGAAGGGUUGGGGUGGGAAAAAGGAAUAUUGGGAUUUUUGGGGAUUUUUGGGGGAUUUUUGGGAUAUUUGGGGUUUUUUGGGGAUUUUGGGGGAUUUUUUUGGGAUUUUUUGGGGGUUUUUUGGGGGAUUUUUGGGGGAUUUUUGGGGAUUUUGGGGUUUUUUUGGGGGUAUUUUUUUGGUUUUUUUUUAUUUUUGGGGUUUUUUUGGGGAUUUUUGGGGGGUUUUUGGGGAUUUUGGGGGUUUUUGGGGUAUUUUUGUGGGUUUUUUUAUUUUUGGGGUUUUUUUUAUUUUUGGGGUUUUUUUGGGGAUUUUUGGGGUUUUUUUGGGGAUUUUGGGGGGUUUGGGGGUAUUUUUGUGGUUUUUUUUAUUUUUGUUUUUUUUUUAUUUUUGGGGUUUUUUGGGGGAUUUUUUGGGAUUUUUGGGGGAUUUUUUGGGAUUUUUUUUGGUUUUUGGAGGGGGAAAUGAUGGAUUUGGGAAGAUUCAGAGUGGAAAAAAAAGGGGGAAAAGCGAAUUUUUUGUUUUUAGUUUUUUUUUCUCCCGUGGUUUUGUUGGAAAAGUUCCCGGCGGAGGAGGGAUUUCUCCUUCCCCCGACCCCGGAAUUCCCAGAAAAUCUCCAAAAAGCGACAAAGAGGAGGAAAACGCGGAUUUUUAACCCAAAAUUUCGCAUUCCCCGGUGUAAAAUCCACAAUUUCCGAUCUCCUCAAGGGGGCGAGGAGGGAGAAAAAUUUAAAAAGGCGACGGGUGAAAUAAAAAAUAUAAAGUGGGAGAACAAUUUAAAAAAAAGGGACGGGAAAAAAAAAUAAAGUAUAGGGCGAGAAAAAUUAAGUAUAGAGGGAGAAAAAUUAAGUAUAGAGGGGAAAAAAAUAAAAUAUAGAGGGGAAAAAAAUUAAGUAUAGAG